UCGCGUAGUCAUUCGUGCUCGCCUAUAUGCCUUUCUUGGUGCCUACUUCCUCAGGGCUGUGUCUUCGUUCCGAUUGCCGUUCCUCCCGUUCCGGGCAUGACUGCCAUGUUUCGCAAGGUGCUGCAGUUGGCUGUGCGAUCAGGUUGUUGUUUGUGCUUUGUUUGACGUCAGAGCUUGGAGACCAUAGAUCUGGCAAGGCAACCACCCGGCAAGAUACCCUUUGGCAGUUCCAGUGAUUCCUGGAUCGAUAAGGUGAAAUCUUGAUCACUCUAUUUGUGCUCUUUUUCUUCCUCUAUAUCUUUUUUCUUUUAUCUUUUUAUUUCUAUCUACUAACCGUAUUAUGCAACUGCCACUCUCUGUUUGCAUUACUGCCUGAUCUAAAAAUCAAUAAUUGCAGGCAGAUCGGAAAAGUAAGGACGCACACACCACCACUUACACAAAUUGGAUUUUGUUGUUGUCGACGUGAGAUAUCCCUCGAAAAUUCAAACAAUCUGUUUACUCGCCCUCUGUUAGAGACCACUUGAAUUGUUAAAACCAAUAUCUAGCCUCCUUUCCCCAACAAAAAUAUUGCUAUCUGAUUAUCUACAUUUGCUGUAAUUGAACUUCACAGAUGACGGUCUUCCUUUUAUCAUUAUACAAUGCUACACUUCCAUAAGUACUUAACCUUAUUCUCAUUCAGGUAUGAAUAGACCAACAUUUUUUACUCCAUCUUUGUAAGCUACGGAAAAUUAGACCUGACAAUAAUCUGGUAAAGGAUUAAUGACAAAUGGUUCUGCCACCGCAAGAUAACACCUGAUCUGUGGAUUACAUCUAUCCUGAUUAGUUUUUAUUUUCAUGCUUCAGUUAAUAGACCUGAUGGUCGUAUUUUACUGCUUCAAGAUUGUUUUAGAUGAAGUGCUGCUGAGUGUAGAGAUGGCAGAGAACUCCGAAAAAAAGAAGAUAUUUUAUACACUGUUUUCAAAUAUUGUCUGGAUAGAAUGUACUUCAACACCUGAUUCUGGGAAGCAGAACAGUAUCUGCCAGUGAUGUUUCCUUGAAACAUUGUCAAAUGAACUUGAUCUAUCCAGAGCUAUGUUUACAGGUUGGUCUGCUGAAUUUUGUUGAGCUUUGUGUACACAAAUUGGGUGUUUAUAUUCAAAUAAUGUGAAGUACGUUUGGUGGUUUCGGGUCUAGGGAAAGGUACGAAAGGUUGUAUGGCUCCUUCCAAUCAGGUAGUCGGGUCUUGGUAGGCUGGUGUCAAGGUUCAGUUCACCAUCGGCCACUUGAAUUGUUAGAACCAAUAUGUAGCCUCCUUUCCCCAAAAAAAUAUAGUGUUAUCUGAUUAUCUCCAUUUGCUGUAAUUGAACUUCACAGAUGACAGUCUUCUUUUUACCAUUAUAAUGCUACACUUCCAUAAGUACGUACCCUUAUUCUCAUUCAGGUAUGAAUAGAUCAACAUUCUGUGAAGUAUGUUCGGUGGUUUCAGGUCUGGGGAGAAGUAGGAAAGGUUGUAUGGCUCCUUCCACUCAGGUGGUUACAGACAAGCCGAGUUUCGGGUGCUCUGUGGUGUUGAGUACUCCGAGGUGGCUGCCCCAUUAUGGAUAAUUAGAGAAUGCUUGCAAAUAUUUUUGUUGACUCUCACCGCAAGAGAAGGAUAUGUUGGCCUACUUCUGGAUCAAGGACAACUAAGGUUGCGCAGAAAAUAGGGGCUGCUUAUUUGAACUCCAUCGAGGGAGCAAAACUAUGCUCAGCGGAUUAACCUGUCAUAUCUACAGAUGUCAGCUGCAAGUGUUUGAUGCUUAAGUUGGCUACAGCAGUUGACGCAGGUCAUGGAUAGAGCGAACUUACUUCAGAUGGAGAUGUUGCCAUGCUACUGCCAGCCGGUUCUACUUUGUGGCAGUGUUUUAUUUUGUGUUGUCUAUGUUAUUAAUUGCGAAAGACUAUUUCUAUUACCUAGGUUUGGUUCUACA
Long non-coding RNA from Lolium rigidum, 1949 nucleotides. RefSeq lists it as uncharacterized. Lineage: Eukaryota; Viridiplantae; Streptophyta; Magnoliopsida; Poales; Poaceae. The transcript is spliced from 4 exons. The record is from RefSeq and is a predicted model, not a curated record.